ACUGUCAGAUCAAACAUUUCUCUCAUUGUCCUUCCCAUAGAGAUAAUUUUUCUAGAACCUCAACUCACCUGGCUGGGUAGAGCUGGAACCCCCUGAAUUUGCAGUGGGCCUGUAGUCCAGCUCUCUGCUCUGGUCCUCUCCUCCACCUGCUUUAGACGUUUUCUUCUCCUGCACCGCAGCCUGGCCUCCCCAGACGUCCUUCUGUUAUACCUCAGGACAGCCAGAGCCUGUUGGCUAAUGCCAGAGGGCUGAUCGAGUUCAGGGAUCCGGUUCUGUUGCAUUGGACCACGCAGGUUAUUCCGAGAGGGUGGCCGGAGGAGCGGGCCCAUGGCUUCAAGCUCAGGUAAUCGCUGAGAUGAACCUCCAAGGAGAGCAAGGGAUAAGCCUGCUCCCGGAACCACAAAAGGCACACUAGAAGAUGAUGUGUGAUGCUGGAGAAAGCUCUCCCCAACUGCUCAGAAGCAGGCAAAGCUCAGAAGAGGAUGUGAUGAGAACACUAAAUUCCAGUGGAAAUGACAGAAGGAUGCAGAUCGGCAGUACAUAAUGGUCCCGACUGGGACCCAAGGCAGAAGUUUGACACGAAUGGAGCCUUGGUGACUUGCAUAGAAUAAAAUGGAACAAAAUCUUGAAAACAAGCGGAAGAUACACAAAGCUUUGUUCCGCUCCGUCGCUUAGAGUGGCUGUCUAUUUUCAACAAGGUUGGAAUUAGGUUUUUGUGAGCAGAAGUCAUGGCGAUGCUGAACACAGGAGACAGUUCUCCCGUGAAAACCCCACCAGAAAAUCUCCCGGGAAGGUCUCACCACAAAGCCCGCUUGCUAGUCGGGUGACAGGGCCUGCAGGUUGGCUGGUGUUUGGUGGCAACUGAGAUGAAUGGGGUUAAAGACUCUUUUAGAAGUGGGACCACUGCUGUGGCAUUAAUAAAAGUUUGGAAAAUGCAGAAAAUCUGGGAGAAGCAGACAUUGAUUCUCCCACGGUCUUCUAGCCCAAACCCAGCUAUUCUUGUCAUUUUCUUGUUCCAUUAUAGUCUUUUUUUAAAAUGUAUUUUUGUGAUCAUGCUGUGUAAACAAAUUUUCUAUACUGUUGUCUCUUCAAAUGGGCUUCCCUAUGUUACUACUUUGUAAAAAUCCUUCUUAUUAAUUGCACUAUAUCCCUUCAAGUGGGCGUGUCCUGAUUUGGUGUGUUUCUCUGAAUAUUUGGGUUAUUUCCAACUUUUUAUGAUUAUACGCAUAUUUGUGCAUAAGGCUAUUUUCCAUCUUUGAGGUUAUUCUCUUAGAAGAGCAAUACAGUUUACAUGUCAAAGAGCAUACCGAUUUUGAAAGCUUUUGUUGAAAAUUACCAACCUACCUUCUCAAGGAGGGAGCCCAUUACAGCGUUACCAUCCACCUGCGAAUGCUGAGCCUCCAUCAGAUCCCAACUUAAGGCAGACGUUUGGGCUUCUCUUUGCUGUCUUCUGAUCCUGUUCAUUUGUUCAUUCAUUCAUUCAUUCAUUCAACAGUCUUUGAACCUCUGCCGUAUACCAGGAAUUGUUCUGUGUGUAGUGGAAACAAAGAUGAAUCUUACACAUCCUGCUGCUCCGAGAACUCAGUCUAGGAGAGGAGGCGGAUGAUAGACCAGCAUGUUUGUGAGGGGUGAGGUGGAGCCUGGAGCCAUGUUUUCCGGUGUCUGCCGCAGGACAGGGCAGCCCUUGUGGAGAUUUCUGCAGCUCUGCUCCCACCAGGCCCAGGAUCCCAUUUCCUGAUCCCAGUGUCCCCGGGCGCUCCUUCACACUUCUCCUUUCCCCAGAGUCCCUUUCUUCUCGCCUUCUUCGCAGUCUCCCUUGGACUUUUGUAUCCGUGCCAUGGAACUCUCAGCUCUCCUGAGUCCAUAACUGUGUCUUUAGCUUCCUACCCAAGUCACCCAUCUUCUUCAGAUUGACCAUGUAGUCAGAUUGUCUCAUCCUUUUUAUCUCCUAGUGCUUCUGCAUUCCUCUCUCUGUAUCCUGGGGACACCAUCCAGAGCCUCUGGGUUAUUUUCUCUAUACUUCUCAAUCCGCCCUGAGUUUCUCAGCCCCCAGCCUGAGAUGAGAAAAGGAUAUUUGGGAAGAGGCAGUAGGAGCGUGACAGAACUGUCUGGAAGCCCCUUAGAGCAUUUCUGCCAUCCACCGUGCUUCUUGCAUGGCCUUUGGGAAAAGACGCGGGUGAUGACCCUUCAGAGAAUUAACAAACGUGGCUCUUUUGGGCAACAGCAGAGUGUCUCCUUGCAGCUUCGUUAGGUGCAAGCUGUUGGCCUGAAGUUUUAACGUUCUUUUCAUUUUUGUCUGUGUCAUCACCCGUUUUGAGGGACAAACUGUUCAUUCAGUUGGAUUCCUUUUUUCUUGGCCAACUCUUGCACAGAGGCAAAGUUGCUAAGAAGGAAGUAGUUUCUCCCCAGUCCCGGAGGACUACAACAGUAACACUUUAGCUUGCCUCUAAUUACAGCCACCAUGACAGUUCAUAUGUUGUAGCAAUAAAAAUAACCAUAAACCUUACAUAAUCAUUAAAGUUAAGCAAACAGCCCCUCACUGCAUCAUAAUGUACAGGUAGUUGCUAAUAAUCCAGGAACAGCAUUGGGGCAUUGAAGGAACAUCUUUCCUAUCUCCACAGUUUCUUAAACAACUUUAGAGACAUAUUUUUAUUAAGUAUAUGCAAGGCAGAUGAUCUUAAACCUCAAGAAGAGUGUGCAUAAUAAUUGUGUACUCUUCUAAUGCUCUCCAAAGACCUAUUCAGAGUCCGUUCUGAAAGACAAUAAUAUAUCAAGAAGUUCUGCAAACUUCCUCCUAAUGAAGACAUGCCAAUUGGAGACCAAGAAUGUGGCCUCGAAGGACAAAAUAACCACCACUCUCAGUCUCUUGGUGUUUUGCUACUUUAUUUCAGAGUGAUUCAAAAUCUAAUUAAAUUUCUAAACUCUAAUGAAAUUACAGAAGAAAAAUCAUUUAGGAUUAUAUUAUGUACAAUUACUCACAGCUGAAAAUUACAGUUAGCCUCUUUCACCACGAUGGAGUCUCCCGGGAAAACCCCUGUUAUUUAUCCACCAUAUAAAUCUGACACUUCUCCCAAGAUUUACACGUUGGAGGUAAAGCUGAAUUAAUUAAAUGUAUAUAUCCUGAGCUCCAGCAGAUAGAUGGGGAGGGAGUCAGGGACAGGGAGAAAGCGUGCGGGCUGAGAGUCCCUCAUGCGAGAAGUCUGGGUUUGGAUGAGUAAAGGCUGACGGUAGACUCCUUCUAACUGGGAAGAUGCUCAGAGUCUGAGCUCUUCUGGGAGCAGAAGCAUUGCACCUGGAAGAGGAGGGCAGAGCCUCAGAUGGCGAGCUUAGGGUGUGAGAUGCUCAUUCCAAGCUCUGUUUGGCUUUGAGAAUCUUAGCUUAUUUUUCUGUAGGUAAGAGAAGACCUUGCCGCCGGAAGUUUGCUUAGGGAUAGUGGCUUGAAUUUCUAUUUUAAGAGAAUUGAAUAACUUGAUCAAUCCAUGCUAACAAAAAUAAUCAGGCUCUUUUGAGUCUUCAGCAGCUGGUUAGCAGUUUCAUGAAAUCCAUCUGCUGGAAGUCUUUAAUUUCUGUGAAUAGAGAGCUUUGAAGGUGUCUCCAUACUCACAACACAACACUUUUUGUUGUGGGAGCCUUGGACUUCCAGGAAUAUGGACUAAGUAAUGUGGAUCUUUCCUCUCAUUGAGAAUGAAUAGAAAAGCUCAACAAAAUAUUUUAAACGUCUGUUUAAAGUUAUCAGAGAGCUAACGAGACAUUGAAGAAACAUAAGAACAAGAUCUGGGAGAAGAAACUCUGAAUGAGCCUGGAAUUUGAAAAGUUUUUCACCCAGAGUCAUCUUUCAAUCUCAAGAGAGGUGGCUGAGAUGCUAAGAAGUGUGGAUAGCUGACAAUAGCUUUGAGAGGAUAGAACUCAGAACCUGCUA
Molecule: non-coding RNA, 3919 nt
Organism: Equus caballus (horse)
Lineage: Eukaryota; Metazoa; Chordata; Mammalia; Perissodactyla; Equidae
Source: RefSeq, a predicted model, not a curated record